GGCAGUGAAGAAUGGGACGGGGCGGAAAGAACGCGGAGCGCGAAUGCUCAAGGCGGCUUGGAGAACCGAGCUUGGAAUCCCGGCGGGGUCAGGCCUUAGUUUGCCAACCCCUGUUGUAAGGUAUUGCAGCUGAACAGGAUGGAAGUUUCUGAAGACCCUUGCCCGAAAAGAAGUUGGACUCUAGGAGGGAAGACAGACAAUUCUGGAGGCUCGACGUCUGAAACCAAGAUACUUUGCACCAUGCUCACCUUCGUGAUGAACAUUGAUUGGCAUUAGACUAAGAGCUGUGAGAGGCAGAAAAGGAAAAAACACAGGCCUUGACCUGUAGGACUUAAUAGCUACCUUAGAUAAUAAUUACUGUUUACUAGGCACUGUUGUCCGUCAAUCCUCAAACAAUCCUAAGAGAUAGGUACUGUUGUCAUCAUCUCUGUGUGACGGAUGAGGAAACUGAGGCACAACCAAAGUAAGAGGCAGGGUUUUGAAUCUGGGCCGCCGGGCUCGCGAAUUCAUGCUCUUCAUUGCACACCACAUCACCUAUUUAGUUUAGUGGGGGAUGGACGCAUAAAUAAAUAGAUACAGGGCACAAUGGUAGAUGCGCAAAGUACCACAGGAGCACAAGAGGCCCACUGCGCUCAGGAUUUGAGGAGGGGGCACCACGAGAGAGGCAUUUCCUGAAUGAGAUGGCACCUGGGCAGUGUCGGAAAGCACGAAGAGGAAUCAGCUGGGAACAGAAGGGAGGAAAGAAAACUGCAGCCAGAGAGGAGGGCAUG
RNAcentral lists this long non-coding RNA (770 nucleotides) under Equus asinus (donkey). RNAcentral describes it as "lncRNA (ENSEASG00005033309.1)". The record is from RNAcentral. Lineage: Eukaryota; Metazoa; Chordata; Mammalia; Perissodactyla; Equidae.